CGAAGCAACGCGAAGAACCUUUACCAGGUCUUGACAUCCCGAUGCUAUUUCUAGAGAUAGAAAGUUACUUCGGUACAUCGGUGACAGGUGGUGCAUGGUUGUCGUCAGCUCGUGUCGUGAGAUGUUGGGUUAAGUCCCGCAACGAGCGCAACCCCUAUUGUUAGUUGCCAUCAUUCAGUUGGGCACUCUAGCGAGACUGCCGGUAAUAAACCGGAGGAAGUGGGAUGACGUCAAAUCAUCAUGCCCCUUAUGACCUGGGCUACACACGUGCUACAAUGGUUGGUACAACGAGUUGCGAGUCGGUGACGGCGAGCUAAUCUCUUAAAGCCAAUCUCAGUUCGGAUUGUAGGCUGCAACUCGCCUACAUGAAGUCGGAAUCGCUAGUAAUCGCGGAUCAGCACGCCGCGGUGAAUACGUUCCCGGGCCUU
RNAcentral lists this ribosomal RNA (428 nucleotides) under uncultured Streptococcus sp. Its description in RNAcentral is "bacterial SSU rRNA". It matches the Rfam family "Bacterial small subunit ribosomal RNA", at positions 952 to 1382 of the family's 1533-position model. Lineage: Bacteria; Bacillati; Bacillota; Bacilli; Lactobacillales; Streptococcaceae. The record is from RNAcentral.